AACUCACUAUAAUAAUGGUUUUCUGACAUUUGAAGUUUUCACCAGAAGGGUUUUCCUCAGUACCAAGUAAGCUUCCUUGGAUGUCUUGAGUU
RNAcentral lists this small nucleolar RNA (92 nucleotides) under Cavia porcellus (domestic guinea pig). RNAcentral describes it as "Small nucleolar RNA SNORD14 (ENSCPOG00000020102.2)". Lineage: Eukaryota; Metazoa; Chordata; Mammalia; Rodentia; Caviidae. The record is from RNAcentral.